This 253-nucleotide ribosomal RNA is filed under the name uncultured bacterium. Its description in RNAcentral is "partial 16S ribosomal RNA". It matches the Rfam family "Bacterial small subunit ribosomal RNA", at positions 524 to 776 of the family's 1533-position model. The record is from RNAcentral.
UACGUAGGGUGCGAGCGUUAAUCGGAAUUACUGGGCGUAAAGCGUGCGCAGGCGGUUUUGUAAGCCAGAUGUGAAAGCCCCGGGCUCAACCUGGGAAUGGCAUUUGGGACUGCAAGGCUGGAGUUUGGCAGAGGAGACUGGAAUUCCUGGUGUAGCAGUGAAAUGCGUAGAUAUCAGGAGGAACACCGAUGGCGAAGGCAGCCUUCUGGGCCAACACUGACGCUCAUGCACGAAAGCGUGGGGAGCAAACAGG